GAUGAACGCUAGCGGCAGGCCUAAUACAUGCAAGUCGAACGAUAGAAGAGGGCUUGCUCUCUUCGAAAGUGGCGCACGGGUGCGUAACGCGUAUGCAACCUACCUUAAUCAGGGGGAUAGCCCGAAGAAAUUCGGAUUAACACCGCAUAAAAUCACAGUACAGCAUUGUACAUUGAUCAAAUAUUUAUAGGAUUAAGAUGGGCAUGCGUGACAUUAGCUAGUUGGCGGGGUAACGGCCCACCAAGGCGACGAUGUCUAGGGGAUCUGAGAGGAGGACCCCCCACACUGGUACUGAGACACGGACCAGACUCCUACGGGAGGCAGCAGUAAGGAAUAUUGGUCAAUGGAGGCAACUCUGAACCAGCCAUGCCGCGUGCAGGAAGACGGCCCUCUGGGUUGUAAACUGCUUUUAUUCGGGAAUAAACCUCAUUAUAUAUAGUGAGCUGAAUGUACCGAAGGAAUAAGGAUCGGCUAACUCCGUGCCAGCAGCCGCGGUAA
Molecule: ribosomal RNA, 498 nt
Filed under: uncultured bacterium
Lineage: Bacteria
Description: partial 16S ribosomal RNA
Rfam family: Bacterial small subunit ribosomal RNA
Source: RNAcentral